UUAAAUACCGACCUGCAUGAAUGGCGUAACGAGAUGGGAGCUGUCUCAAAGAGGGAUCCAGUGAAAUUGUAGUGGAGGUGAAAAUUCCUCCUACCCGCGGCAAGACGGAGAGACCCCGUGGACCUUUACUAUAGCUUGACACUGCUAUUUGGAUAAAGAUGUGCAGGAUAGGUGGGAGGCUUUGAAGCUAGGACGCCAGUUCUAGCAGAGCCAUUGUUGAGAUACCACUCUUCUUUAUUUGGGUAGCUAACCAGCUUGAGUUAUCCUCAAGUGGGACAAUGUCUGGUGGGUAGUUUGACUGGGGCGGUCGCCUCCCAAAUAAUAACGGAGGCUUACAAAGGUUGGCUCAGAACGGUUGGAAAUCGUUCGUAGAGUAUAAAGGUAUAAGCCAGCUUAACUGCAAGACAUACAAGUCAAGCAGAGACGAAAGUCGGUCUUAGUGAUCCGGUGGUUCUGUGUGGAAGGGCCAUCGCUCAAAGGAUAAAAGGUACCCCGGGGAUAACAGGCUGAUCUCCCCCAAGAGCUCACAUCGACGGGGAGGUUUGGCACCUCGAUGUCGGCUCAUCGCAUCCUGGGGCUGGAGCAGGUCCCAAGGGUAUGGCUGUUCGCCAUU
This 613-nucleotide ribosomal RNA is filed under the name Campylobacter jejuni. RNAcentral describes it as "bacterial LSU rRNA". It matches the Rfam family "Bacterial large subunit ribosomal RNA", at positions 1976 to 2588 of the family's 2925-position model. The record is from RNAcentral. Lineage: Bacteria; Pseudomonadati; Campylobacterota; Epsilonproteobacteria; Campylobacterales; Campylobacteraceae.